This is a long non-coding RNA of Helicoverpa armigera (cotton bollworm), 1781 nucleotides long. RefSeq lists it as uncharacterized. Lineage: Eukaryota; Metazoa; Arthropoda; Insecta; Lepidoptera; Noctuidae. The transcript is spliced from 4 exons. The record is from RefSeq and is a predicted model, not a curated record.
UAUGUUAACAAAAUAAAUGUUGGUAAACUGAGUGCAGUUAGACCGCAGCGUCGCCGUAACUCACGCGCAUAUUCGUGCUGCGGUUAAUGUUUCAGUUUGUGGCCAUAUUUUAAGUGCUAUACACAUAAUAAUUUAUGUCAACGAGAUUCUUAAUCCGCGGCAAUAAAGUGGCAGACUAAAUAAUUUGGGUGGCGUCGACAAACGUCGUAAGUGCAGGUGCGUGGUGCGCGCGCGCGACGUUUCGUGCCGCGGCCGCGUCGCGCAGACCCAUAGAUCCCACGCGCUGUGAGCCCGCGCCAAACUGGUCGAUCGACUCUUGCGCAACUCGGAGACUACAGUUGGUUUCCAAUUUUAUGUUGACCGGUUUCAAAGUUGUCUUAGCCUUCUAAUUUCGGCUCGUUUAGAUUGGAAAAUACGUCGACAAAGAUACGAAAUGAAACUCAGACUGGUGAGAUCGCAGCCAUGUUUUCACUCACGUACCGCGCGCCCGCAUUAAGAUUCCUACCGAUCAUUGUCUGUCGCUGAUGUUAAGUCAUUAAUUAAACACCUUAUGGCAUCGAAAGUAACUUCUAACUUUCGCAUAAACAUGUCUGUUUAACUACUGGUUUGUCUCACUGUGCGUUAGGGUAUUGCUUGCUGACGUCACAUCCUUUUCUAAAGUCCCUCAUUUGUUUACGCAAACAUAAAAUACGUAAACCAAUAUUGGCAUAAUGACCAUAUUCUUAAUAGUUCGAUGUGCAAGACUUCGGCUUAUUUAUUAUGUGACUAGAUGGUGAGGACGAAGGUUAAAUUACAGUUAUAUUCAAGUCGAGACAAAUCUGAUACGAUAUAAAUUGAUCUUCCUAGACCUGAAGUAUAGAAAUAUGAAGUUAACGGUGUAGUAACAAAUCGUCGGAGAUGACUGCGGCUCGCAUGUCGGUGUCGCGUCAUGUCGCGCGACGUCGCGUGUCGCGGGCGGCGCGGGGCGGCGCGGCGCGGUGCGUCCCACGCGUGCCCUGUACAAAUACUGUCGGCGGGAGUCCGCGCACAAAUCAACGCGCUCGGACGUGCGCGCUCCGGACCCCCGGUGGCACGCACCACCAGGGCUGCCUAACCAAAACUGAGUCCUCGGCUGGAGCGAGCUGGUGGUGGGGGUCAGCCCUGCAGCGACCCCCCGGCGCGGCGACAGCGCCAACAUCUCUCACCUCCGGGCCCCGUAAUGAACAAUAUAAAUGUGGCAUUUGGCGGCCGCGAGCCCCGCCGUGCCGACACCCUGCGCAACACUCCUCCACGCACAGGAUGGCAGUCAUAGUGCGGCGUGGUGCAGUCGGUACAGUCCAGGAGUGCGCAACAAUGGCGCGCAGAGGUGGAGGCCGCGAGCGCUUGCGCCACCGACGCGAUUGUCCACUACACGAUCCUUCACCUUCAGCUAGCACAUGCUCCACUUCUUGCUACUGUUUUCAUAAUAACCAACAAUUGCCUUCAGUUCCACUUGAGGAUCAAGUAACUUCUUGAACACUUCUUACACAGUCGGGCGUGGUGUCACCUGGUCGCCAGGGGUCGGCAGCUGGUCCAUUGUGGGGCUCAUCACUUGACUCGCGCGAAAGGGAUGCGUCGCCAUGUGAACCGCUAACGGAAUCCUGGGAAUGCUCCCGCGCAGAUAAUGCGCAACACAACUAGUAUUGUACUACACAAUAGUAAUGCGAUAUACUGCGCUUGUUUUCAACUCUGUACCACAUUUUAUUACCCCGUUAUAAUAAAACGAUAUGGAAAUAUUUAUACCCAUACUAAUUUAUGUCUUU